This 639-nucleotide ribosomal RNA is filed under the name Lactiplantibacillus plantarum. RNAcentral's name for it is "bacterial SSU rRNA". It matches the Rfam family "Bacterial small subunit ribosomal RNA", at positions 53 to 657 of the family's 1533-position model. Lineage: Bacteria; Bacillati; Bacillota; Bacilli; Lactobacillales; Lactobacillaceae. The record is from RNAcentral.
ACAUGCAAGUCGAACGAACUCUGGUAUUGAUUGGUGCUUGCAUCAUGAUUUACAUUUGAGUGAGUGGCGAACUGGUGAGUAACACGUGGGAAACCUGCCCAGAAGCGGGGGAUAACACCUGGAAACAGAUGCUAAUACCGCAUAACAACUUGGACCGCAUGGUCCGAGCUUGAAAGAUGGCUUCGGCUAUCACUUUUGGAUGGUCCCGCGGCGUAUUAGCUAGAUGGUGGGGUAACGGCUCACCAUGGCAAUGAUACGUAGCCGACCUGAGAGGGUAAUCGGCCACAUUGGGACUGAGACACGGCCCAAACUCCUACGGGAGGCAGCAGUAGGGAAUCUUCCACAAUGGACGAAAGUCUGAUGGAGCAACGCCGCGUGAGUGAAGAAGGGUUUCGGCUCGUAAAACUCUGUUGUUAAAGAAGAACAUAUCUGAGAGUAACUGUUCAGGUAUUGACGGUAUUUAACCAGAAAGCCACGGCUAACUACGUGCCAGCAGCCGCGGUAAUACGUAGGUGGCAAGCGUUGUCCGGAUUUAUUGGGCGUAAAGCGAGCGCAGGCGGUUUUUUAAGUCUGAUGUGAAAGCCUUCGGCUCAACCGAAGAAGUGCAUCGGAAACUGGGAAACUUGAGUGCAGAAGAGG